CCGGACCGGCGCACGGGUGAGUAACACGUAUGCAACUUGGCCGCCACAGGGGGAUAACCCGCGGAAACGCGGCCUAAUACCCCGUGACGCCACCGGAGGGCAUCCUCCGGUGGCCAAAGGAGCGAUCCGGUGGCGGAUGGGCAUGCGGCGCAUUAGCUAGACGGCGGGGUGACGGCCCACUGUGGCGACGAUGCGUAGGGGUUCUGAGAGGAAGGCCCCCCACACUGGGACUGAGACACGGCCCAGACUCCUACGGAAGGCAGCAG
RNAcentral lists this ribosomal RNA (266 nucleotides) under uncultured bacterium. RNAcentral's name for it is "partial 16S ribosomal RNA". It matches the Rfam family "Bacterial small subunit ribosomal RNA", at positions 90 to 354 of the family's 1533-position model. The record is from RNAcentral.